RNAcentral lists this ribosomal RNA (439 nucleotides) under uncultured bacterium. RNAcentral's name for it is "partial 16S ribosomal RNA". It matches the Rfam family "Bacterial small subunit ribosomal RNA", at positions 339 to 795 of the family's 1533-position model. The record is from RNAcentral.
CUACGGGUGGCUCCAGUGAGGAAUAUUGCACAAUGGGGGGAACCCUGAUGCAGCAACGCCGCGUGGAGGAUGACGCAUUUCGGUGUGUAAACUCCUUUUAUAUGUCAAGAAAAUGACGGUAGCAUAUGAAUAAGCACCGGCUAACUCCGUGCCAGUAGCCGCGGUAAUACGGAGGGUGCAAGCGUUACUCGGAAUCGCUGGGCGUAAAGGACGCGUAGGCGGGUUGGAAAGUCAGGUGUGAAAUCCUACAGCUUAACUGUAGAACUGCACUUGAAACUUCUAAUCUAGAGUAUGGGAGGGGGAGAUGGAAUUAGUGGUGUAGGGGUAAAAUCCGUGGAUAUCACUAGGAAUACCUAAAGCGAAGGCGAUCUCCUGGAACAUUACUGACGCUAAGGCGUGAAAGCGUGGGGAGCAAACAGGAUUAGAUACCCGAGUAGUC